UGUGACUAACCUUGUGAAACUGUCAUGUUAUAAUCUUCUGUUCUUCUAAGUAUAAUUCUUUGUUGCUCCUGUGUCCUUGUAUAGAUAAAAAGGGAACUGAGAGUCAAACCAGCUGUCUCCUGUGUCCUUGUAUAGAUAAAAGGGGAAGGAAGAGUCAAACCAGCUGUCUCCUGUGUCCUUGUAUAGAUUUAAAGGGAAGUAAGAGUCAAACCAGCUGUCUCCUGUGUCCUUGUAUAGAUUUAAAGGGAAGUGAGAGUCAAACCAGCUGUCUCCUGUGUCCUUUGUAUAGAUAAAAAGGGAACUGAGAGUCAAACCAGCUGUCUCCUGUGUCCUUGUAUAGAUAAAAAGGGAACUGAGAGUCCUGCCCAAGAACAGAUCAAGAUAUAAAGAUAUGUGCUGAUCACCCAAUGCUUCUGAAUUCAGACUGUCUACGCUGUGGAACUCUGUUAUUCUCUCUGAGAUCACAAUGUUUCUGAAUUCAGACUGUCUACACUGUGGAACUCUGUUAUUCUCUCUGAGAUCACAAUGCUUCUGAAUUCAGACUGUCUACACUGUGCUGUUGAACUCUGUUAUUUCUCUGAGCUCAUAAAUAAACAAUCUGGGUUUGACUUGGACUCCAGCAGAUCCUCAAUUAUAUAUACCCACACACACACACACACACUCACACCUUGGACACAUACACACACACACAAACACUGGACACACACAUGCACAAAGUGAGCAUUUCUCCUUCCCCAAGAUAAUCCAUCCACCUGACAGGUGUGGCAUAUCAAGAAGCUGAUUAACAGCAUGAUCAUUACAAAGGUCUCUCUAAAAUGUGUAGUUUUGUCAUAUAAAAACCUCAGACCACUUGUAUGGCAUCAUGUGGGUGAGAGGUUUGCUGAUGUCAACAUUGUGAACAGCCCCAUGGUGGAGGUGAGGUUAUGGUUCCACAUUGUGAACAGCCCCAUGGUGGUGGUGAGGUUAUGGUUCAACAUCGUGAACAGCCCCAUGGUGGUGGUGAGGUUAUGGUUCAACAUUGUGAACAGCCCCAUGGUGGUGGUGAGGUUAUGGUAUGGCCAUUGUGAACAGCCCCAUGGUGGAGGUGAGGUUAUGGUUCAACAUUGUGAACAGCCCCAUGGUGGAGGUGGUGUUAUGGUUCAAUAUUGUGAACAGCCCCAUGGUGGUGGUGAGGUUAUGGUAUGGGCAGGCAUAAGCCACAGACCAUGAACUCAAGUGCAUUUUAUCGAUGGAAAUCUGAAUGCACAGAGAUACCGUGAUGAGAUCCCAUUGUCAUGCCAUUCAUCCUCACCCAUCACCUCAUGUUUCAGCAUGAUAAUGCACGGCCUGAUGUCGCAAGGAUCUGAACACAAUUCCUGGAAGCUGAAAAAAAAACUGUUCUUCCAUGGCCUGAGUACUCACCAGACAUGUCACCCAUUGAGCAUGUUUGGGAUGCUCUGGAUAUACGUGUACGAUAGCGUGAGAUUCGUAUCUGUAUUCCCAGUCAUGUGAAAUCUGUAGAUUAGGAUCUAAUUAAUGUAUUUCAACUGACUUAUUUCCUUAUAUGAACUGUAACUGUAACUCACUUGCAUUUUGGGUUUAUAUUUUUGUUCAGUAUAAUAAAAAGAUCAGUUGUAAAUGUUUUAUGUUUGAUAUGAUGUUAGUAACACUAAGUCAUUCCAUCCUUUCACUAAAUGGUAGUAACACUAAGUCAUUCCAUCCUUUCACUAAAGCUCUAAAGUAACUUUUAAUUGACAGAUGCCUCAUUUAUAUGUUGUGGAUGUUGAUGAAAGGAAAUCCCAUAUAGGCUACUGACCAGGACUUUGUUAUGGCAUCUUCUGUUUGGGAGUCUCAGGUCAGGUCAGAGCCAUGAUCAGAAUGUGUCUCUGUCUAUUUCCAGCCCUGACAUUUCUACCUGUCCUGAUCUAGUGUUUGACCCCUGACCUCCUCACACCGUCUCACUGUCCAUGUCUGCUUUUAGCUCCCACCUCUACUUCACUGUGUUAUAAUGGACCUUAUGGUUGUUAUGUCACCUCUGUAACCAGCUAUCAAACAUACUGACCUUUCUGACCCUAUCCCACCUCUACUUCACUGUGUUAUAAUGGACCUUAUGGUUGUUAUGUCACCUCUGUAACCAGGUAUCAAACAUACUGACCUUUCUGACCCUAUCCCAUGGCCCUACUUUCUAGAACUAAACAUUUAAUGUCCUCUGAGUUUUGCUUACUGUCCAUUUACUUAUGUAUUAUGUAUUUGUUGUAUAUUGGGGUUGUGCCUCAGAGCAUCAUGGGGGUUUGCAUGUGUUGAGAUGAUCACGUUCCAGAUAAAUGGUUGAUC
RNAcentral lists this long non-coding RNA (2313 nucleotides) under Salmo salar (Atlantic salmon). RNAcentral's name for it is "lncRNA (ENSSSAG00000115658.1)". The record is from RNAcentral. Lineage: Eukaryota; Metazoa; Chordata; Actinopteri; Salmoniformes; Salmonidae.